CCUACGGGGAGCAGCAGUGGGGAAUAUUGGACAAUGGGCGAAAGCCUGAUCCAGCCAUGCCGCGUGUGUGAAGAAGGCCUUCGGGUUGUAAAGCACUUUCAGUGGGGAAGAAAGCCUUGGGGCUAAUACCCUCGAGGAAGGACAUCACCCACAGAAGAAGCACCGGCUAACUCCGUGCCAGCAGCCGCGGCAAUACGGAGGGUGCGAGCGUUAAUCGGAAUUACUGGGCGUAAAGCGCGCGUAGGCGGUCUGAUAAGCCGGUUGUGAAAGCCCCGGGCUCAACCUGGGAACGGCAUCCGGAACUGUCAGGCUAGAGUGCAGGAGAGGAAGGUAGAAUUCCCGGUGUAGCGAUGAAAUGCGUAGAGAUCGGGAGGAAUACCAGUGGCGAAGGCGGCCUUCUGGACUGACACUGACGCUGAGGUGCGAAAGCGUGGGUAGCAAACAGGAUUAGAUACCCCAGUAGU
RNAcentral lists this ribosomal RNA (464 nucleotides) under Vreelandella stevensii. RNAcentral describes it as "partial 16S ribosomal RNA". It matches the Rfam family "Bacterial small subunit ribosomal RNA", at positions 338 to 794 of the family's 1533-position model. The record is from RNAcentral. Lineage: Bacteria; Pseudomonadati; Pseudomonadota; Gammaproteobacteria; Oceanospirillales; Halomonadaceae.